AGUGAACGCUGGCGGUAGGCCUAACACAUGCAAGUCGAACGGCAGCACAGUAAGAGCUUGCUCUUACGGGUGGCGAGUGGCGGACGGGUGAGGAAUACAUCGGAAUCUACUUUUUCGUGGGGGAUAACGUAGGGAAACUUACGCUAAUACCGCAUACGACUACGGGUGAAAGCAGGGGAUCUUCGGACCUUACGCGAUUGAAUGAGCCGAUGUCGGAUUAGCUAGUUGGCGGGGUAAAGGCCCACCAAGGCGACGAUCCGUAGCUGGUCUGAGAGGAUGAUCAGCCACACUGGAACUGAGACACGGUCCAGACUCCUACGGGAGGCAGCAGUGGGGAAUAUUGGACAAUGGGCGCAAGCCUGAUCCAGCCAUACCGCGUGGGUGAAGAAGGCCUUCGGGUUGUAAAGCCCUUUUGUUGGGAAAGAAAAGCAGCAGGUUAAUACCCCGCUGUUCUGACGGUACCCAAAGAAUAAGCACCGGCUAACUUCGUG
RNAcentral lists this ribosomal RNA (491 nucleotides) under uncultured bacterium. Its description in RNAcentral is "partial 16S ribosomal RNA". It matches the Rfam family "Bacterial small subunit ribosomal RNA", at positions 29 to 507 of the family's 1533-position model. The record is from RNAcentral.